CCUAACUUAGCCCCUUAAAGGUUAUGAAAUAUUCCUCAUUUUCUCAAUUCAAGUUGAUGGAGGAUUUUCCUAAUUCAACUGCCAUCCUGAUCGAGUUGAUCCAUGUAGAGCAGAGCCACUUUCUCUGCAUGACCUCGGUGAGGAAAGGCCAUUAAAAUUUAUCAUAGGCCAUCUUGAAAUCUAUAUUUAGCAUGGUUUCCCUUCCUAGUUACUUCUAAUUCAUACAACACCUCGAUGACUCUUACAGAACAACCACACCUUCCAUAAUAUGUCUGCUAGGAGUGAAAGCAGUUUCGGCUCUGCUAGUUAUCCUGCAGCUGGAGGAGUCAAUCUGAUUGGCAACACUUUCAGAUCAUUUUGGUGAUCACCUUAGGCAAACAAAUAAUGAAUCUGUAUUGCUAGAUAACAUUAUCAUAUUUUAAUCUUGGGAAUCAGGGAGAUAACUCCGUAGUUAACCCCAUAGCUUUCAGAAGAAAAACUCCAUAGUUGUCUCCCGGGAUUCAAUUAAUCUAAUCUCAUAUAAUUCACCUAGCAUCUCUUUGUCCCCAAGCUUGACUUGGUGCGAAACCAAGGUAUUUGGCAACAUGACGGAAAACCGCAGCGCGGAAAUCGAGGGGCUCGCAUGACGUAUCAUGCAAGGAAAACAGAAAACGGUGGGGCCCUAAUUAGGUGGGCCCCAUAUAUCAGUGAGCCAGGUUAAGGAGUCGUACGUCGGACUAUCCGCGUCGAUACGCAACCUUCUAGAUCAGCACAAUACAUCUAUAUCAAGCAAGGCCCAUACGUAUUAAUCAGCUUUAAAUACUUACGUUUUUUGCGAGAAUUAAAUACUUACGUUUUAUAAUAGACGCGUACGCCACGGCGUAUUUUUUUUAAUAUACUAGACUAAUUAGACAGCCGAGUCUGUAAUUCUUCCAUGGUAUUUGCAACAACAGAAAGAAAAAAAUCUGUGAUAAAUUGUGCAAUGGAGUCAUAGGAGAUUUGAUGUGGCCGGAUUUACCUUCCUUUAGAAGCAUAUAAAAAUUCAAGAAAAUGAACCAGCGAUGGCAUGAACAACGGGAAUUAAAACGAUAGUAGAGAAAAAAAGUAAAGAAAAACAAUGACGACGCUCUACAUUCUCACAGCCUCCAAAAACCGCAGCGCGGAAAUCGAAGGGCUCGCAUGACGUAUCACGCAAGGAAAAUGGAAAACGGUGGGCCCCAUAUAUCAGUGAGCCAGGUUAAGGAGUCAUACGUUGAACGAUCCGCGUCGAUACGCAACCUUCUAGAUCAGCACAAUCCAUCUAUAUCAAGCAAGGCCCAAACGUAUUAAUCAGCUUUAAAUACUUACGGUUUUGCAAGAAUUAAAUACUUACUUUUUAUAAUAGACGUGUACGCUACGGCGUAUUUUUGUUUUAAUAUACUAGACUAACUAGACAGCCGAGUCUGUAAUUCUUCCAUGGUAUUUGCAACAACAGAAGAAAAAAAAUCUGUGAUACAUUGUGCAAUGGAGUCGUAGAAUUUUAUGUGGCCGGAUUUACCUUCCUUUAGAAGCAUAUAAAAAUUCAUGAAAAUGUACACGCAAAAAAAUCAUGAAAAUGAACCAGCCAUGACAUGAACAAUUGGGAAUUAAAACGAUAGAGAAAAAAGUAAAGAAAAACAAUCUACAUUAAUUCUCACAGCGUCCAAGAACUGCAGCACGGAAAUCGAGGAGCUCGCAUGACGUAUCACGCGAGGAAAACGGAAAACGGAAAACGGAAAACUGUGGGCCCAGGCCAGGAGUACUGAUCCGAGGAGGAUCCGCUGAAAAGGAAAUCCGCGACAGACGGGAGAGAGAUAUACAUAUACGGCACGGAAAGGCAACCCCGAGUACUGAUUGACAGACACUCGUCCAACUCUGACUGAUUUCAUGCCACUUGUUGAUCGUAUCGAACGGCAUAUGUCUAACUCCUCUGCUCUUCUGUCCUAUGGUGGCCGGGUCACAAUCCUUAAUUCUGUUAUCUCUUCGUUGGCUACCUACACUAUGUGCUCCCUUGAAAUCCCAGCGAAAAUCUUGGAGCAUGUUGACAAAGCCCGUCGCCACCUUCUCUGGAGCAAACAAUCUGAUAUUGGCGAGAAGUGUCUGUCCCUGGCGGCAUGGGAUUUGGUGUGUAGGCCCAAAGCUCGAGGUGGUUUGGGAGUCAUCAAUCUGAAAAUCCAAAACAAGGCUCUGCUUCUCAAGCAUUUGGACAAAUUUUACAAUAAAAGUGACCUUCCUUGGGUUCACCUUUUGUGGAAUUCCUAUUAUACGACCAAUGUCCCUCGUGCUGUUGCUCCAUGUGGUUCCUUUUGGUGGCGUGAUGUACUCAAACUGAACCCAAUUUACAGGGGGAUUUCAAACUGCAUUGUGGCAACCGGAGAUAGCUGCACUUUCUGGAAAGACUUAUGGAACAAUCAUAUGCUCUCCGAGGAAUUUCCUAGAGUUUUUUCUUUUGCCAUUCAGGAGGAUAUCUCAGUCAAGGAGUUCAUUGCUGCUCUACCCCAUGCUCCCUCUCUUCAGGCACCUUUAUCUGCUCUUGCUUUUGAGGAAUUCACGACCCUUAGAUAGACUGUCUCAGGUUGCCUUGACAGCUGACGGCGAGCAUGAUUCUUGGACAUAUAUUUGGCAGAAGCCUUUCACAGCUAGUCGAUUUUAUGCUCAUUAUUUCGACACGUUGCCUGAGCAUCCUAUCCUGAUUCAUCUGUGGAAAAGUAAGUGUGUUAUGAAGCACAAAGUUUUUGUUUGGCUCCUUAUGAUGGAUAGGCUGAAUACAAGAAACAUGCUGAGAUGAAGGCGCUAUGUCCUUGCUUCUGGCUGGUCCUGCUUGCUCUGCCCGGCGCACCCGGAAGAGAAUCUCGACCAUCUAUUCUUUGCUUGCCCUUUCAGUCAGCAAUGCUGGAAUAUCCUUGGGGUUCAUUGGCAGAUGAAUCAACCCUUAACGGAACAUUUACAGCGUGCUAAGCUGGCUUGGCGUAAAGGGCUGUUUUGGGAGGUGUUUAUCCUCGCUGCCUGGGGUCUUUGGAAAGUGCGUAACGCCAAGCUAUUCGAAAACACCACACUCUCUUCAGCUGCCAGGAGGAUCUGCCUCAGAACUGAGCUUCUCCUGCAGGAGCUAGCAUUGUGAUCUAGGGGAUCUAAGGGGGCCUGUCCCUUGGAUCUUUUGUUUUCUUUUCUUGCUAAUGUAACUUGUACCGUUCUAACCCCUAAUACAACGUAGUAGGAGUCUCUCCUGCUGUUUUCCCCAGUCAAAAAAAAAAACUUAUGUGAUACACAUUUUUUAUACCACACUUAUGUGAUACACAUAAUAAAAAGUACUUAAGUCAUUUUCAAUAUGAAUACAAUAUUAUCAAUGGUAUUUCACAUAAGUUUUAUACUAAUUACUCCCUCCUUUCUCGUUUAUAAGGCCUUUCUAAAAAAUUAAACUUGUACUAGAUUCGUUCAAAACUCCGGUUUAUAAGGCCUUUAUUUAAACAUCACUACUGUUCAUUAAUAUAUAUACAUAUGUGAGAGUGCAAGCCGUGUGACGACAAAAACUAAUCAUCCUACGACAACAAUGAAACUUAAAAUUGGGUCAGAGAAUUAACCAACAAACUUUCCAUGCUUCAACAGUCACCAUCCAUUUUUAGUACUAACUAAUGGUCAUACUAUAAUUGGACGGGAUUAAUUUGCCGUUGGAACAAACAACAUAACAAGAGUAAGUAUACAACAUAAUCCUCUCUGGUCGGCAUGUAUUAGGACAUUAUGCAUGUGUCUGGAAUCAUUAAUUGCAGCCAAUAAUUGAAAAACAUUUUGGGCAAUAGUUGUAGAUUUAAAAUGGACUGUCAAGAUCAUGCAGCCAUCAGAUGACAGUAUCAACCUCAUACCCUCGAUCAGCCUAUAAAUACCCUGCAAAGGCGGGGGUAUACGGUGCACAACAAUACCCACAAGCAUCAUAGGCUCCUGCUCGUGGAUGAUGGAGCACCAGCAAGGACGGGCCAGAAACAUCCGGUGGCGGAAUCCUCACGGUUGGAGGGGACGGGACAAUCAAGGUGUGAUCAUGGUGAAGGGUGCUGGCCCUCUAGGGUUAGAUAAGAGGAGAUUCGGGGCAGCGGCGCGGCAGCAUGGGCCCAACUGGAAAGGGGACCCUGACGUGCCGCACCCUAAUACAGGCCAUUGAAAUGUGGGCCCCUAAUAGGUGAGCCCAACAUAUCAGUGACCCCAUGUUAAGAAGUUGUACGUCGGGCAAUCUGCGUCAAUAUGCAACCUUCUAGAGCACAAUCCACCUAUAUCAAGUAAGGCCAUAGGUGAUGAUUAGCUUUAAAUACUUGCGUUUUCAAUAUAGACCCGUAUGCAACCACGUAUGUAUUUUGAAAAUAAUAUGCUAAACUGUUUAGACGGUCGAGUACAUAAUUUCACCAUGGUAUUUGCAACAACAACAACUAUUACUACUACUAGCCAAGCCAGCCAGCAGCCAGCUAAGCCCCUUGCAUGAUGACGCCGCCGUGAGCUGGCAGCGGCACCGCCUCCGCGGUCACCGACUUGAAGGAGGAGGAUGUCCGUGCCGCUGCCCCUCUACGGGCUGAGGCUUCCUUGGCCCCAUGGUGGCACUCCUCUGCCACGUCCCCGAGGCGCAUGGCUGGCCCUGCGUCACGGGGGUCUUCCCCGGGGACAGGGUUGCCAUGCGCCUCCAGGCCGGCUUCAACGUGGUUGUCGUCGACCGUGGCUCCGACAGUGCCACCGCCGGCCACUACCAUGGCCGCGUUCUGCCUGCGUCCGCGUGCUGCGGAGUUGAAAGGGCCCCGAGGCGCACGGCUGGCCCUGCGUCACGGGGGUCUUCCCCGGGGACAGGGUCGCCAUGCGCCUCCAGGGUGUGAUUUGUUGGGUGUCGCCAGUUUUUUGCCCCGUAGUCCAUGCACAGCUGGUUUCCUGGUAAUGUGUUGAACUUCCCUCAUUUCACACCCGCUUGUUUGUUCUAUAAUGACAUGUAAAAGUAGACCGGUUUCAGCAAAAAUGAUUGUGGAUUAUGUUUGUUUGUUUUUCGGUAUCUAUACCAUUUUGAUUUAUCUAUAACAUGUUUGGCGUUUAUUUGCCAUGCGGAGUGAUGUCUCUACAUCUGGGGUUCUUUGCUUGUGUCAGUCCAUCAUGUGACAAUGUUCCGCCAUACUAGUGAUGCAGACGCAAUGUCACGCUGGAAUGAUAAUAGGAGCACAGACGCAAUGUUCCGGUUGCCUGAUAUGACCUGGUGCUACCUCUUUUCCAAAAAUACAAGGGGUAACAUUACUCCAUUAACAUGUGUCUGUCUUAUGUGAGACACAUUUUUCAUACCACACUUGUGUGAUACACAUAUAAUAAGUAAGUACUCCCUCCGUUGUUUUAUAUAAGGCGUACAUGUUUUAGCGCGAAUAUUAACAGAGCUCAACGACCGAACGGAGACGCACGCACGCACACCUGCAUGUCAACGGCCGGAUCUGCUGCAUGCAGCCGGGAAAGAUGCUAACUUCUCUCCAAGCGAGCAACCGCAUGAGCGAUUUUUCAGCAGUUACGACGCAAAUCGCCCCAACGCUUCGACGGGCCAGUGCGUGGGCGAGCGGCCGGCUAAUCGCGCGGGCGGGUGAGCGGGCCUGCGCGCCUUACAUUGCGUAAAAAGCUAGAAAAAAUACACGCCCUACGUAAAAAAACGGAGGGAGUACUUUGCAAUAUGAAUACAAUAAUAUCAAUGGUAUUUCACAGAAGUUUUAUACUAAUUACCCCCUCCUUUCUCAUUUAUAAGGCCUUUCUGAAAAAAAUUAAACUUCUACUCCAUUCGUUCAAAACUCCAGUUUAUAAGGCCUGUAUUUAAAUGUCACUAUUGUUCAUCAAUACAUAUACAUAUGUGAGAGUGCACGCCAUGUGACGACGAAUACUAAUGAUGCUACGACAACAAUGAAACUUAAAAUUGGCUCAGAGAAUUAACCAACAAACUUGCCAUGCUUCAACAAUCACCAUCCAUUUUUAGUACUAACUAAUGGUCAUACUAUAAUUGGACGGGAUUAAUUUGCCGUUGGAACAAACAACAUAACAAGAGUAAGUAUACCACAUAAUCCUCUCUUGUCAGCAUGUAUUAGGACUAGAAUAACUUAAUAUUCAAAAGAUAUUUUUUGAAUAUACAACAUAAUCCUCUCUUGUCAGCCUUAUAAAAGAUAUUUUAUUUCCAAUGGACCAAUUUUGUACAGUAACCAAGAACCAAGGCAAAAUUCAAAAAAAGAAUUAAUUAUAUGGUUUUUCAGAUGUUGGUAUUGUUCACCAUAUUCAAUGUAAUUGCACCUUUUAGAAAUAAAUUAAUAUCGGUUUUCACAUGUCAGUUUUUUUUAGCAUAUUCCGCACCGUUGCACCUUUUAGAAAUAAAUACUUACAGACAACGUGGACAUGCGGCUCCCAAACCUUAUGGAGCACACUGCUCUUAUAUCGACGAAGGCCAUACAUGUUAAUUAGCAAUAAAUACUUACGUUUUAUUAUAGAUGCAUAUGCUGUUGGUAUGCUUCUCAAAUAAAAAAUACUAGACUAAUUAGAUAGCCGGGUCUAUAUAUAUUUCCUCUGUGGUAUUAGUGACAUCAAGAAAACGCUGCCAUGCAAUGUGCAAUGGAUUUCUAAAAUUUGAGUGGACAAUCGACGAUGCCACCAUCACCCUCGGUCAGGCAUCUGCUUCCUCCCGCUCAACGAGAUGCCGCUAUUCCAGCUAAUCAAUCGAUCGAUCAGUCGAUCCGUCCAUCUAUAUAUCUUACCUAGAUUCAUGCUGAUCCGUCGAGAUUUCACUUGAUUAAUCGAUUCGAUCCCUUGAAGUGUCCCGCGGGCGCAUGAUCUGCACGCCCUGUUUGCAUUGAUUGGGGGGUGGCGCCAGAUCGAUGCCAUGUCUGGCUGUCCUGGGCUCCCGCUGAGGCCAAGGCGGAACUACGGCCGACUUCCUAUGAACGCCGUGCUCGCUAGUGUGCAUGUGGCCCGGGGCCCAAGCUACUGCCCUGCCAAAGGUUGCGGCUUUCUUGGCUCCACGGCAGCACUCCUCUGCCACAUCACCGAUGUGCACGGCUGGCCCUGUGUCACGAGGGUACUCCCCGGGGGACACAGUCGGCCGACAUCAACGUCGUCGUCGUUGACCGUGGCUGAUGGCGCCACCACCGGCCGCUCCCUGGUGGUGAUGCAGCUGGUGCCGGAGCCUUUUGGAUGGAUUGUGGUCAUGUUCUGCCUGCGCCUCCCCCCCCCCCCCCCCCCCCCCACCCCCAAUGCAGCCACGUUCGCCAGGGCCUUGUUCCGGUCGCCUGAGAGGACCUGGUGCCAGAUCAGCCUCACCUAUGUGCGCAAUGUCUAUGUUGAUGAUGACGAUGAUGGCUGCGAUGGCGACCUGAUGCAGCACUAUGAAGAGAAGACUGAUCUGGAUGUCAUGUGCACAAAUCUUUGUGCAGGGUACCCCGACCUGGACGAUUGCUUCGGACUGCACGUGUUCAUUGAUAUCAUUGCCAACCAAGAUCUUGAUAGUAUCCAAUUAAAGGAGUGGAUGAAUGGAUUUUUAUAAAACGAACGAAGGCAACCCGCCGAAGAGAUCAGUGCAGGGUACGGUAAAAGUAGAUUCCCGGUGAUGGCUGCCGCAAGGACUCUCAUAAGCACGCUUGGGUCGGCACUUUGUGGACAUCACCACCACUGAUGAUGACUCAUACUCGUUGAUGGUGUCUGCACGGUGUAUGUAGAACACGGUGACAACGCGGCCAUGCGGUCCCAAAUCACUCACCGACGGAGUCUGCACGCGCCCACUGCCAGGUGGACCCAUUUCCUCUUUCUGCGCCUUGAAAGAACCAUGUGUCCCACUUCACACUGCAAUUUAGCAAUGGUGGCAUAGAAGGAAAUUAAUUUGCGAUAACAAGAACGACACAUGUAAGCUCUCUGCAAUUGUUUCCGUAGGCACACAUAAUGUACUACCUCUUUUCCAAAAUAUAACGAGUGUAACAUCACUGCAUUAACAUGCGUCUAACUUAUGUGAUACACAUUUUUUAUACCACACUUAUGUGAUACACAUAAUCAUAAGUAAGUACCUUUUUAGCUAAAAUGGUGCAUCCAUUAAUUCUCUCGCAUGAUACCGCUUCAUAUAUUAACUCAUGUCUAUUCAUGACCGAUGCGAGAUUUAAUUAAUUAUGCGAGCUUUAAUUAAUUCUUGAUCUACACACCUCAUCUCCAUAAGGGUUGGAUCUUAGUAGAAGGAGAAUGCGAGCGCAUCAUCAGGGAAAGGGUACUCAUAGGGAAAAUUGAGUUCGUAAAAUUACAUUACAAGAAAAUUGAGCUUUAAUUCGAGAUCUGCACACCUCAUCUCCGAAAGGGUUAGAUCUUAGUAGAGGAAGAAUGAGAGGGCUUCGUCAAGGAAAGGGUACUCAUACGAAAGAUGGAGUUCUUGAAAUCAUAUUACAAUAUACCUGAUCCACCACAUGACAGAUCAUUAAUAAUAAUGGUACAAACAUCCUCUCCCAUGAUCCCAUUGACCCAUUUCACACAUUCUCCCAUGAUCCCACUUCAUAUAGACACUAGAGUACUAGAGUUACAUUACUACAUACCCGAUUCACCACCGAUGCGAGCUUUAAUUCUAGAUCUACGCGUCUCAUCUCUGAAAGGGUUGCAUAUUUGUAGAGGGAAAAUGAGAGGUCAUCGUCGGGAAAGGGUAGUCAUAUGGAUGAUAGAGUGUUCUUAAAAUUACAUUGCAACAUACCUGAUUCCACCUUGACUGCAAACUUUAGUCCUAGAUCUACACUCCACUCUGCUAGCAAGCUUGGAUCUAUGGAGUAGGAUUCCAAGAGAGAUUGUUAGUUGAAGGACACCACGACAGGUCUUCAUCAUGGGCUGCAACGUAGAUCUCUUUUGGGCACAGUUACCUGAUUCGAAGUUCGCUGGGUCGUGAUUCAUACUUGUGGUUCCUGACAAAACCAAUCAAAGUGACACUAACUUAUUACACUCGACUCUUAGGGUUUUAAUUAGGAGAUAUGAAUAAAAUCAGCAACCUAAGCCACUAGUUCAAUGGCUUCCAUCAAGUAUCCACCCGCGAGUAUUCUCUACCUUCAAUAAUUGCAUGUGUUACCCAAAACUCUCUUCUUUUUUAAUUUGGCAAGGCAGGGACUAAGAGUUUUCUAAACAUGCUCACGAAUUAGAUUGCGAAAUCUUUCAAAAGUAUAGUCAAGUUCAUAUGCAAUGUGGGCAUUUGAGGGCUAGAAUUCGACCAAAUAAAUUCUAUGCACAAUCCAAGGUAACCUAGCAUCAGCAUAAAGCGAGAAAGUUUUGUACCAUUCCUUGUCCCAGCAUGUUUUCAUUAAGCACGGAGCAGACGCUAUUGUGGUUGUAGUAUUCAAAAUUGACUUUGGACUUAAAAGGCAUUGGAACCAUAGUCAUUAAAACAAACUGGACACAGAUCCCCUGACGCACCGCACCCUGGCAUAGGUCGUUGACAUGUGGCCCCUUUAUAUGUGGGCCACACAUAUCAGUGACCCUGUUUUAAGGUGUUGUCCGUCAGACAAUCCACGUCCCUAUGGAACCUUAUGGAGCUCAAUGCGCUCAUAUCGAGCAAGGUCAUACAUGUUAAUUAGCUAUAAGUACUUAUGUUUUAUGAUAGACGUGUAUGCUACCCAUAUGUUUCUUAAAAUAAAAAAUACUAGACUAAUUAGACAGCCAGGUCUACAAUUCCUUCGUGGUAUUUGCAACAAUAAAAAAAAAAUCCGCCAUGCGAUGGUGCAAUGGAGUUCUAUAAUUGGAGCGGACAAUCGAAGUCGACACCGUCACCCUAGGCACUGCGGCAUCUGCUACCUCCCGCUCACCGAGCUGCUGCUAUUCCAGGUAAUCAAGCAAUCAGUCGACCCGUCCAUCUAUCUACCCUAGAUUCAUACUGAUCCAUUGAGAUCUCGCUUGAUUUAUUGAUUUGAUCCCUCAGAGUGUGAGCUGAGCGCCCUGCUUUGCCAUGCUGCGGGUUGGUGCCACAUAGGUGCCAUGUCUGGUCAUCACGGGCUCCCGCCGAGGCCACAUCACGCAACUUCUAGCGGACUUACUCCGAAUGCUGCGCUUGCGACCGGUGGCCCGGGGCCCAUGCCGUUGCCCUGACAGGGGCUGCGGCUUUCUCCGUUGGAAUUUUGGGUUAGACCCAAGGCCCAAUCUGAAGUUAAUUCUUGAAAAAUCUUAAAAGCCUAUUCAUGUAGUGAGAUGAGAAAGUGGAAAUAGUCCCACAUUGCUAGUUUAUGCGGAGUUGGACCAAUAUAUAAGGUAUGUUGGUUCUCACCUCUUGAGCAAGUGAGCAAGGGAAAUCCCUACGCGCGCUCUUCCUCCUCCGCUCGCCACGCCGCGCGCGUGGAUCGAGUUCGAGCCGGAUCGUGCUUAUUUUUUUGGCAGUCGGAAUCCGUUGCGGACGCGUAACAAAUUCCGAUAAUUGCGGAGUUUCCUAAACCGAACCGAAGUCCGCCUGCGUGCCUAUAUAAUAAGACUACCCCGGCCUCCGGACGGACGACGCAAAAACCCUAGCCGUCACGCCCACGAUCCAAUCUCGUUGUUCGCCGCCAACUGCUACUUCAUCCCGUCGACUGCGUGCACAGAUCGCCGGGAGAGCAGGCCGAUCCUGCCCGGGAGACGGUCGAUAAGGUUUUUGCGGAGCGUUCUCACGCGACUGCUCGCUUCUUCACGUCUCUGUUUCGUCGGCAUCUUCAUCACCAAUGGCCGACGACCUCGGAGAUCCCGCGGCUCAGGCUGCCGCUCUAGCUCAGCAGCAGCAGGCUGCACAACUCCAAGCACAGCAGCAGGCUGCCCAACUCCAAGCCCAGGCAACUGCUGCUGCACAGGCGCAAGCGCAGGCACUGGCUGCUGCUCAGGAGUUAGUCAAGGCUGCUGCUGCUGCCGGCGUGAACAUCGACGCCACCGGACUCGUCACCGACCUCAACAAACAAACACAAGAAAAGAGCACAGCACCGUACGUAAUCUGCUCUUUCUUGUUGAUUUUGAUUAGUAGUUCUAUUAUUCAUGCCGUGAGAUUAGAUGAGUUUUAUUGCUGUGUGUUGCUAUUUAAUUUGUCUAGUUUGCAUGAUAUAAUGUGCUACAUGUUUUACACACUGUCCUUCUGGAUUAAAUAUUCAUCGAAAUUACCUAAUUUUUCAACAAUCCAAAAACCUUAUUCGUGUAGGCAAUUUUCGAUGUCUCAAUUUGCUGUCGCAUUGAAACCACCUGUGUUUACUGGACUGCACUUUAAGAGGUGGCAGUAUAAAUGUCAUAUGUGGCUCGUGGCUAUGGGCGCAUGGUGGGGGUACAACACGGGAAGACUCAAACAAUUGCUUCUCAGCAGUUGUAUGUUGAGGCUUGUGUUGUAGUCGUCGGUGCGAUCUGUAGUGUGCUGGGAGAUAAGCUCGUUGAUGCUUAUCUGCACUAUCAGGAUGCCAAAGAGUUGUGGGAUGCGCUCGAUGCCAAGUUUGGUGCAUCUGACGCUGGCAGUGAGCUGUACGUCAUGGAGCAGUUCUUUGACUAUAAGAUGGUUGCAAACCGAUCUGUAGUGGAACAAGCUCAUGAGUUAUUGACUAUGGCUAAGGAACUUGAGCAAUUCAAGUGUCCACUACCCGACAAGUUUGUCGCCGGGGGCAUCAUCGCCAAGCUUCCUCCCUCGUGGAGGAACUUUGCUACUUCACUAAAACACAAGAGACAAGAAAUCUCUAUGGAGAAACUGAUUGGGACUCUUGAUCUUGAGGAGAAGGCGAGAGCAAAAGAUGCUGGCCCCAAAGGCAACACACAAGAGGGUACGUCCACUGCCAACAUGGUUCAGAGGAACAACGACAACAACAGUAACAACAAGGGAAAGGGAAAGGCAUUCAAUAAUGCUGGUCCAAAGAACACUACCACUUUCAACAAGAAGAAGAAAGGAGGCAACAAGGACAAGGAUCCUUGCUUUGUGUGUGGAGGACUUGGCCAUUGGGCGAGUAACUGCAAGGAGCGCAAAGGAGGACAGAUUCGGCAAAAGUUUGCUAAUUUGACCAUUGGCAACAAUGAAGAUGCAGGCAGGUAUGGUAAUUUAUUUACUAUAUUUUCUGUAUGUCAGUCCACCGAUUGGUGGGUCGAUACAGGCGCAACUAUUCAUGUGUGUGCUGAUAUUUCCUUAUUUUCUUCAUACCAGGCCAUCAGCUCCUCAGUGAUGAUGGGGAACGGCGCCCAUGCUUCUGUUCAUGGUGUUGUCACGGUGGAUCUGAAGUUUACUUCGGGAAAGAUCGUGCAGCUGAGGAACGUGCAGCAUGUGCCCUCCAUUCAGAAGAAUCUUGUUAGUGGAUCCCUCCUUUGCAAGGACGGAUUUAAGUUAGUGUUUGAGUCCAAUAAAGUUAUCGUGUCUAAGUAUGGACAAUUUAUUGGUAAAGGUUAUGAGUGCGGAGGUUUGUUCCGUUUAUCCCUUUCGGAUUUUUGUAAUAAGGUCGUGAACAGCGUCAAUUCUAUUAAUAAUGAGUCUAAUGUUUGGCAUUCACGACUUUGUCACAUUAAUUUUGGUUGCAUGACGCGAUUAGCAAAUUUGAGUUUAAUCCCUAAAAUCACUAUGGCUAAAAGUUCGAAGUGCCAAGCUUGUGUGCAAGCGAAGCAGCCUCGCAAGCCUCACAAGGCUGCUGAGCAAAGGAACCUAGCACCGUUAGAGCUUAUACAUUCUGAUCUUUGUGAGAUGAACGGUGUAUUAACCAAAGGUGGAAAACGUUACUUUAUGUCUUUCAUUGAUGAUGCGACUAGAUUCUGUUAUGUGUAUUUAUUAAAAUCAAAGGAUGAAGCAUUGCAUUAUUUUAAGAUCUAUAAAGCUGAAAUAGAGAAUCAACUUGAGAAGAAAAUUAAACGUUUGCGGUCUGACCGCGGUGGAGAAUAUUUCUCCAGUGAGUUUAAUUCAUUUUGUGAGGAACAUGGCAUAGUCCAUGAGAGGACGCCUCCCUAUUCACCCCAGUCAAACGGGGUUGCUGAGAGGAAAAACCGCACGCUGACUGACUUGGUCAACACCAUGUUAGACACUGCUGGUUUAUCCAAGGCAUGGUGGGGGGAGGCGCUAUUGACUUCGUGUCAUGUCCUAAAUCGUGUUCCUACAAAAGAUAAAGAAGUCACCCCAUACGAGCUAUGGGAAAAGAAGAGACUCACACUUUCUUACUUACGGACUUGGGGCUGUUUGGCGAAAGUCAAUGUGCCAAUCACCAAGAAACGUAAGCUUGGACCAAAAACGGUUGAUUGUGUCUUUCUUGGCUACGCAUUUCGAAGUGUCGGCUAUAGAUUCUUGGUUGUAAAUUCUGGAGUACCUGACAUGAGCGUCGGUACAAUUAUGGAGUCCAGGGAUGCUACAUUUUUUGAGGACAUAUUUCCCAUGAGAGAUAUGCAUAGCACAUCUAGAGAGGAUCAUGAUGUACCUGCUGAACCCGUCAGUUCAGAGGAACAUCAAGAUCAUGGUGUAGCUCCUGAACCCGCCAUCCCAGUGGAAAAUCUUGAACAAACACGCGAUGAGAUUCCUGAGGAGUAUGACAAUGAAGCCCCUCUUAGGGGUAAGCGACAAAGGAUUAUUAAAUCCUUUGGUGAUGAUUUCAUUGUGUACCUUGUAGAUGACACCCCUAAAACUAUUGAUGAGGCCUUUGCUUCUCCGGAUGCAGACUAUUGGAAGGAAGCUAUUCGUAGUGAAAUGGAUUAUAUCAUGGCUAAUGGUACGUGGGAGGUCGUUGACCGUCCGUACGGGUGCAAACCUGUAGGAUGCAAGUGGAUAUUUAAGAAAAAGCUUAGGCCUGAUGUUACUAUUGAGAAGUACAAGGCGCGACUUGUGGCCAAGGGUUUUACCCAGAAAGAAGAUGAAGAUUUCUUUGAUACUUACUCACCUGUAGUAUUACUAUCACUGGCUGCCUCAUAUGGUCUGAUCGUCCAUCAAAUGGACGUUAAGACAGCUUUCCUUAACGGAGAGUUGGACGAGGAAAUUUACAUGAACCAGCCAGAUGGAUUUGUAAUAAAGGGUCAUGAAGGCAAAGUGUGUAAGUUAUUAAAGUCUCUAUAUGGCCUGAAACAAGCUCCUAAGCAAUGGCAUGAGAAGUUUGACAAAAUUUUAACAUCUGCCGGCUUUGUUGUAAACGAAGCUGACAAAUGUGUAUAUUACCGCCAUGGUGGGGGUGAGGGAGUUAUACUUUGCUUGUAUGUCGAUGACAUACUAAUAUUUGGGACUAACCUCAAAGUGAUUGAAGAGGUUAAGACUUUCUUGUCGAAGUGCUUUGACAUGUAGCUGAUAUUACUCUGAACAUCAAGCUCGUGAGAGGCGACAAUGGUGAGAUCAUUUUGGUGCAAUCUCACUAUGUGAAGAAGAUCUUGAGUCGUUUCGGCUAUGCUGAUUGUAAACCUUCUCCAACUCCUUAUGAUCCAAGCGUUCUGCUUCGAAAGAAUAACAGAAUUGGAAGAGACCAACUGAGAUAUUCUCAGGUUAUUGGUUCACUCAUGUAUUUGGCUAGCGCAACUAGACCUGACAUCUCUUUUGCUGUGAGCAAACUGAGUCGGUUCAAUAAGAAUCCGGGAGAUGAUCAUUGGAGUGCACUCGAGAGGGUCAUGCGCUGUCUAAAGGGCACAAUGGGCUAUGGUAUACACUAUACUGGGUAUCCCAAGGUACUUGAGGGUUAUAGUGAUUCAAACUGGAUAUCUGAUGUUGACGAGCUAAAGGCCACGAGUGGAUAUGUGUUCACACUCGGAGGGGGCGCGGUUUCAUGGAAGUCUUGCAAAGCAAACGAUCUUAACCAGAUCAACAAUGGAAGCAGAACUUUCAGCAUUAGAUACAUCCACAGUUGAAGCCGACUGGCUUCGUGAGCUCUUGAUGGACUUGCCGAUUGUUGAAAAACCAAUACCGGCGAUUCUUAUGAACUGUGACAAUCAAACUGUGAUAGUCAAAGUGAACAGUUCUAAAGAUAACAUGAAGUCAUCAAGACACGUCAGGAGACGUCUGAAAUCUGUCAGAGCAAUGAGAAACUCCGGAAUAAUAGCAUUGGGAUAUAUCCCAACGGCUAAAAAUUUGGCAGAUCCCUUUACAAAGGGUCUAUCAAGGAAUGUGAUAGAAUCUGCAUCAAGGGAGAUGGGAUUGCGACCCACGUGAGUUACCAUGGCGGUAAACCAACCUAUGUGAUCAGGGAUCCCGUGAAUUAGGACCUGGGAAACAAGUCAUUGGAUAACUGAGGAGAGUGUACAUUCUUUAUCCCACUUCGUUGACGAUGCAUUACUCUCGUGUACUGUAUGGUAGGUUGUUUAACUUAAUGUGUUCUAACGCGUUGCAUUAAUUUGCAAGGGAGAUACUGUCCUACAGAGUAGUCUCUAAAUAACACACCUAUAUGAGCCUGACUGUUGGUCGCAGUCUAUGAGAUUUGGGUGGUCUCUAGUAAGCUCAUGAAAAGGCCUGGAGAAUGACUUACAUGCUCCACACCGCGGGGUAGCAUUCGGCAGCCCAGUACCAAACAACAAUUUAGUGAAGCUCUAACACAGAAAACCGACAAUUCGAGGUUUGUCCAUUGUUCAGUUGUGCGUGAGUGAAGCAAUUUGUUUAGGUGGAUGUUCAACCUUAACCGGUCUCCACUGAAACGCCGGUAUAUCAAAAACAGAGUCUUGGAUCAACGGCAAUUUUAUGUGCUUAUGAGAUAUUGUGGGGGAUUGUUGGAAUUUUGGGUUAGGCCCAAGGCCCAAUCUGAAAUUAAUUCCUGAAAAAUCUCAAAAGCCCAUUCAUGUAGUGGGAUGAGGAAGUGGGAAUAAUCCCACAUUGCUAGUUUAGGGGGAGUUGGACCAAUAUAUAAGGUAUGUUAGUUCUCACCUCUUGAGCAAGUGAGCAAGGGAAAUCCCUACGCGCGCUCCUCCUCCUCCUCCGCUCGCCUCGCCUCGCCUCGCCUCGUCACGACGCGCGCGCGCCACGUUUCGUGGAUCGAGUUCGAGCCGGGUCGUGCUUAUCUUUUUGGCAGUCGGAAUCCGUUGAUAAUUGCGGAGUCGGUUUUGGUUUCCUAAACCGAACCGAAGUCCAGGCAACUGCUGCUGCACAGGCGCAAGCGCAGGCACUGGCUGCUGCUCAGGAGUUAGUCAAGGCUGCUGCUGCUGCCGGCGUGAACAUCGACGCCACCGGACUCGUCACCGACCUCAACAAACAAACACAAGAAAAGAGCACAGCACCGUACGUAAUCUGCUCUUUCUUGUUGAUUUUGAUUAGUAGUUCUAUUAUUCAUGCCGUGAGAUUAGAUGAGUUUUAUUGCUGUGUGUUGCUAUUUAAUGUGUCUAGUUUGCAUGAUAUAACGUGCUACAUGUUUUACACACUGUCUUUCUGGAUUAAAUAUUCAUCGAAAUUACCUAAUUUUUCAACAUUCUCAGCUCCACGGUCCUGUACCCCAUCACUGACGCGCAUGGCUGGUCCUGCAUCACGAGGGUCUUCCCCGGGGGACACAAUCGCCCUCAGUCUCCAGGCCGACAUCAAAGUCGUCAUCGCUGACCGUAGCUUCAAUGAUGGCACCGCUGGCCGCUACCUGGUGGUGAUGGAGCUGGCAUUGGACCCUUUUUGAUGGACCUUGGCUGAGUUCUGCCUGCGGCCUUGUGCCCCCGCGUUCGAUGGGCCAAUGUUUUGGUCGCCAGAUAGGACCUGGUGGCAGAUCAGUCUCACCUAUGUGCGCAAUGUCUUCGACGAUGACGGCUGCGAUGACGAUGUGAUACAGGACUAUGAAGAGCUGACCGAUCUGGAUGUCGUGUGCACAAAUCUUUGUGCAGAGUACCCCGACCUGGAUGAUUGCUUCGUGGCGCACGUGUUCAGGUCCGUCGAUGAUUUGGAAAACGGGGAUGGCAUCGUUGUCAGGGUUAGCAUUGUCAUCAAGUAAUUCAUUAUAUGGUUGCUGCAGUAGAUCGAUGUAUGAACGUCAGUUGAUUUAGGAUGUCAAUCAAAUUCUCCAGACUUGCAGUAGUAGCAAGUGUGCAGGUUUGUUGGGUGUCACCAGGUUUUUGCCAUGUAGUCCAUGCACAUUGGGUUUCCUGGCAUGUGUUGUCGUGUAAUGACUUGUGGAAGUAGACCGACAUAAGAGCAAUGGUUGUAGAUUAUGUUUAUUUGAUUUUCAAAAUAUAUACCAUGUUGAUUUAUGUAAAUCUGUUUGGAUUUUGUUUGCCAUGCGGUGUGAUGUCUCUAGUUCUCGGAUUCUUUGCUUGUGUUAGUCCAUCAUCAUGCAUGAUUUGAAUUGUUUUUUAUAUUUUCAACUGACAUAUACUUUUUUAUGUUAUCUAAUACUUUUUUACAUUGUCAAAAAAAUACAUGUUACUAUAUUGUGAGUUGUUGCACCCAUUUCAAUGAUUUCUUUUCAGACACCUUCAUGAGGACACCCUAAUCAAGAUGUUAAUUACAUUUCCAUACAUAUCCAUGAGGACCCUAAUAAAAAAUGUUAAUAACAUUUCCAUACACAUCCAUGAGGACCUUAAUCAGGAAUGUUAAUAACAUUUCCAUGCACAUCCAUCAGGACCCUAAUCAAGAAUGUUAAUAACAUUUCCAUAAACAUCCUUGAGGACCCUAAUAAGGAAUUCUAAUAACAUUUCCCAUGUUUCAUGCAUGGGACAUGUUUUGAUAUCAAGCCAUCUAGUCUAACUACUGAGUGCAAGCCUACGCAUGCGAUUUUAUUUGGGUAGUAUCGCCAAAUCUCACCGCCCAUGUACACAACGAUGGAUUCACCUCAUGCUAGAAGAGUCAGUGUGGUAAGACCACACAGCUUACAUAGCUUCUCUGCACACAUGUUUAAUUGGGCAUGUGAUGAAUGUGUCACUCAUAUCUGAUGGGGAUCAAUAGUGCUACUGCACACUUCUGUUGUCAAGUGGAACAAGCAUUUUUUUUAACGAUUUGUUCAUGUUUCAUGGAAUGCACAUUUAUUAAUUAUGUUAAUUACAUCUAAUGCAAGAAAUCACAGUAAACGGGUAAGGCAUUGGUUGGAGCGAGGCAGCCAUGAUAAAUGAAUGUUAAUCACAUUAAAUGCAAUCAUUCGCUAUAAAUUAAUCAUGCAUUUGUGGGAGUCAUCCACCACCUAUGGACUAACUAAUGUACUACCACAGAACCAACUAGUCCAAAUCAAAAAGCAAAGACGAAUGGUGGAUGUGAGAGUGGUAUAGCACACUGGUGGUAGAGAGACAUAUUGUCCUAAAAAGGUGAUUGCAUUGAAUGUGAUUAACAUUCAUUCAAAGCAGAUGCCUCCAACUAAGUAAUGUCUCACACAUUCACUGUUAUUGCUUUCUUUAAAUGUGAUUAACAUAAGAGUAAAGUCCAUUUUAAACCCUGUGCUUGUAGAGGUGGACCCAAUCGAACCCUGACCUGCAAAUCCCUGAACUUAGCGCCCUGAACUCUCAAAUCCCGGUCAUUAGUGCCCUUAAGUAGGAUUAGCCUCGGGAUUGCUGACGUGGCAGGGUCUAAGCUGGGAUUGUUUAGGCCACGCUGGAUAAGAAGGUUUACCACUUCGAAAUAAGAAACUAACAGUUUGCAAUUUGGGAAAAAAAACUAGGGUUCGCGUCCCGUAGUCGGCGACGGCAGCAGUGGAGAUGUCAUCUGGGUCUGUGUCGAGCGGUGGUCGUCGAUGGCGGAGAGGCACCGUGGGAGAUAGGCGUUCACCGAUGCCGUAUCGUGAAGAUCCGAUGGAGUAUGAGCCAAUGAAGUACUGCCGGCGUGAAGGCGCCGAGGUGAAUUUCAUGAAGUCCGCGAAAUUCUGGAAGAAGGUAUUAUGCCUGUGUGGAUGCGUUGUUAAGUUCAACUUCCAGUUAAUUUCUCUCGUUGGUAUCAAUUAAGAUCGAGUCUCUCUUUUGUCUUUUUUGUUCUGGAGUGUUCAUUUUGAACAGUUCGGUGGCUGUGGGAGCAUGGAUCCUUGUUUGGCAAACCAUUUAAGGACGGGAAUGACCGGGAUUAGAAAGUUCAGGGUGCUAAGUUCAGAUAUUUGUAGGUCAGGAUUCGAUUGGGUCCACCUCUACAAGCACAGGGUUUAAAAUGGACUUUACUCUUAACAUAACUAAUAAACGUGCACUCCAUUAAUCACAAAAAGAUGGUUAAAGAAAGUUUGCCCCACGUGACAGCAUGGCAAGCCGGGAGAAUCAACAGCUUUCCUAGAAGGAUUAGUAGGUAUAGGCAAUAACGUGUCUUCACUCUAAAAGUAAUGCAAUAUCUUUUAUUUCUGAAGUUUUGGUACUUUGUUAAUUAGCUGUAAUUUGGUCCGUGGGUGGAGUUCUGGUUCUGCUGGGCGUUGUCCUGGCAGUCUGAGAACAUUUAGACAACUUUGAACUGUGUUGAUUUCAUUAAUGAAAUCGGGAGGUCGCUCCUUUUCUCUAAAAAAAAUCUUUUUGCAAGGAAAAAAGAACUGCAAUAAUGAUGAGGAAUCACCUGAUAGAAAACAUCUCACCUAUAAUUCUUUCACGGUGGGCAAGCCUGAUCUAUAUCAUUAAUUUGGCAUAAGACUUCUCUUCAUAAUAUCUUUUCAACUUAUGCUGACCUGAAACGAAAUAGCAGCUAGAAAAAGAAAUGAAGUACUAUAGCUCCUAGCUCAAUAACAUGUGACUGCAGUAACCGUAACAUGAUUCGAACUGUCUGCUAAGGAUGGGGAGGGAAAGGAAAUAAAGUUGAAGCACAAGUAGAAAUCGGCAAUAAGAGAGUUCUCCCCACCGAUGACGUACGGAGGGUCGCACAGACCGUGCUCGCCGGCAGAGGCUAAGCAAAAACAGAAUGACGACGUGAGGGCUAUGGCUGCUUGUAGUCUGAGCUCUCGCAGAUGCCCUUGUCAUAGACCCUGUGUAGCAUACGGAGAGAAAAAGGAAGAGGCGGAGAAUGAUAGAUAGGCCAUCGCAGGGCAGGGGAGAGGGAAGACGUCAGCCGUCUCUGGAUCGAGCGACGGCCACGACAGUUGCUUUUUUUUUUUUUUUAGGGGAGCACGGCAGUUGCUUGGGGAGGGCAGACGGCGCGAGGCGAUCAGGAUCAGGAUCGAGGCGUUGUUUUUAUGCCUGCAUAGGUGGGCUGUGAACUUGGCCCAACUACGGGCGCUGGAGAAGCCCAUCUAGUGGGAUUUUCUGCUGCAUAGGUGGGCUGGCCGCUGGUGAAGCCCAUCUUGCGAAGGGUCCGACGGUACCAAUCGCGGGAACAACUCGUUGGUGGGAAAAACGAUGGCAUGGCAGGAGGAGGAGGCAGAAAAAAUUAGAUAUAGGAGAUUCGCAUUCUAAAAUAUUUGUACAUUCGUCGUAUCACUGUAUGGCUGUGCAUGGGUGUCGCCGUGUCCGUACAACUUAGCAAUGUAAAAUCUGAUUUUGAAAUCUGCAGCUGUAAAAUGUAGCAGUUCUGCCACAAAGCCAUGAAUAGUCAGCGGCGGACCCCGGAAGAUUGACUUGUGAAUUGUGGCGCCUCGACCGGAUUGCUCAAAGCAUCAACAAAAUCUAGGUGAACUCCGCAUGUGGAGUUGGAUCGAUAAGAUGAAAAAACUCCGGAGCAUCAGGUCAAGACAAGGCGCACAAUGCUAGAAAACGGUUCGGCCCUUAGGUCAGGCUCCCACGCGAUCUAAUCCCCAGGCGGUGGCGGCUGCAUGGCUUCUCCCUCCGCCGGCGCCGGCAGUCUGCCCAGCCUCCGAUGGCUUCUCUGGCCACGGAGGUGCGACAGAUCCCGGCCGUUCGCUGGCGGAAGGACCUCUCGUUUUUUGUUUUAGGUUCUUUUAGUGUCUUCUUCAAGAUGUCGUGGCGGCGGCGACGUCUUGCAACUGGAAUAAGGCCCUCCCCACCCUAUCUUCGCUCCGGCGGUGCGCCUGGCGCCGGCGGAGGGCGGGUGGAGCUGUGUGUCCUGCGAAUCCCUUGGGAUCCGGCCGCUUUUCGGGUUUCCGGCGAAUCCCUUGGGUUUCGAUCGGCUUUCGUGUUUGUUCGUGUGGCUUCAGAUCUACAUCUUCCGAUCUAUGGUUCUUAUCUUUGGUGAUGGUUGCUUCUCAGAGGCGCUGGUUCUUCGAGGCCUUAGCACGACAACUACCCCAGCAUCUACUACCAUAAGCUCUCUUUUGGCAAGUUUUGCCCGGCUCCGCUGAUGGAGGGGCAAUGACGGUGGCCCGCUUUCGGCUCGUUCUAGUGCUUGCUACCGUCGCUAGUAGUCUAAAUACCUAUUUAUAAUUUUUUUAUUACUUUUGGGAUUCUUUGUACUGCCGUUGGUGAUUAUUAAUAGUUCGGGGAUCCUCACCGCGAAAAAAAAAAGGCGCACAUUUCUACCAAAAUGACACCAAAACUCGUACGUGUAUAGUGCAGAGCCUGUUGAGCCCUGAUUUGCUCAUUGCAGAUACUCCUCUCUUGGUCUAGCUCUUUAUGUAACAGUGUAAUGUCGUGAGAAAAUAAUAUUAUGAUGCUCGAUCGAUUGAAUCUCUCUCCCUGGAAAAGAAAGAAAACCUUAUCUCCUCGCUCGAUCUAGUCCCGUCUCGUUCUCCAGCAGCUUGAUUAAUUUACUAUAUCCAUCCCCGUCGGUGGAAUUAAGUAUACAGUAGUAUAUAUGUUGCUUGUUUGACCAAACUAACUAACUUCAUUGCAUGUGCACCCACGAAAGACGAAGAACACGUAGUACUACACGGUAGUAUCACCCAACCUACCUCCUCAUAAUCUCAUUCUAUAAAUACCUCGCUACAUCGACCAAUGCGUUACACAACACCAGGCGCUGGGUAACUAAUUAAGGUCAGCUGAUUCGAUUACUUCAAUCGAACGAGAUGAGCUCCUUCUCCUCCGUCGACGGUGUGGCCUGCGGCGGCGGGAAGAAGACGUCGUGGCCGGAGGUGGUCGGGCUGUCCGUCGAGGAGGCCAAGAAGGCGAUCCUCAAGGACAAGCCUGAUGCAGACAUCAUCGUCCUGCCCGUCGGCACGCCGGUGACCGCGGACUUCAGGCCCAACCGCGUUCGCAUCUUCAUCGACACCGUCGCCGAGAUCCCCCGUGUGGGCUAGCUAGCAAGCUAGCUAUAGCUUGAGUAAUAAUAAAGUAAUAAUGGAGGACUAAAUGCGUCGUGUUAUAUGUUCAUCCCAUGUGUUUGAUCAGUUAAUAUAAGCAUGUGUACGUGUGUUUGAAAUUCUGUCCAUGGCACAUCGGGACCGGGAGAAUAAACAUGCGGCUCCACCAGAGUCACUUUGUUUGCGAUCUCGUCUCGCCUAUGUGUAAUAACUUCCGUGCCAUUAAUAGCACUAGCUAAGCGUCCGUGCGUUGCAACGGAUAGACUACAUCUUAGUUUUUUCAUGUUUGUUAUUCUUCUUUGCAAAGUUAUGAGACAUGAGAUUUGCCAUCAUAUUUGUGGGCGAGUUUGUACGAGCGCCGAAUUGAUUGUUCUGGCGUGUUUUCUUUUUCUGAUCGGCAGAAUUGAGAAAGUGUUAUUUGUUUUGGACGAAUGAAAAUAAUCUGAAAAUGCAGUUUCCUUUUUCUGGACGAGUUUCCUCUUUCUGAGCGGUAACAAUAAUCUGGGAUGCAGUUUCCUUUUUCUGCUCUCGGUGGCAGAAGGGAACCAUUUUUUUACACUGAUUUUUUUCGCUCCAGGUUGGGACGACGUACGAGGGACGGACGCCAACUGCAAAUCAAGGAACAGUAAAGAUAAAGACUAUUACGGGUAUGUUUCACCGAGCACCGGCGAAACGUACAUAUAUCUUUACACUUGAAAACUACCGUUUGGAUACAGUGGUUUCAGAGAUGGGUUGUACUAGUUCUUGGUUCUUCAGAAGCCGAUGCCAUGCCCCGUCACGCCGGAGUUGCUGAGCGUGGAGGAUCUGACGCUGGAGACCAAGCCAGGUGCCCUCGCUCCGUCAGGUCGUAGUUGAUGUCGUCUCCUUACCUCUGGAGCCACCGAGCAUAGAGAAGAGAACAAGGUCGCCUGGCCCUCGCCGCCGUCGAGGUUGCACGGCAGCCUGGACGCCCGGCCGAGCUUCUGGGCUCGUGCUCGGCUCGCCUGGGCUCGACCUCAGCCCGGUAUAUCAAAAGCCAGAGCCGAGUUUGCUUUUUGGGCUCGUUUCUAUUUUCCUGCCGAGCCAGGAAGGAUCGGUUCGGGCUGCUCGGCGAGCCCAAAGCCUAGAAGAUUUUCAGCUCAGCCCAUCGACUCCCGCAGCCCACAGGCGGCCACAGCCCAUGGCGUGAGGACUCCGACUUACGUCUGUGGGCUGCGGGAGUCGGUGGGCUGCGGGAGUCGGUGGGCUGGGCUGAAAAUCGAGACUUGUGGGCAGUACUAGUUUUACGCAUACAAUACGUCGAAGCCAAGGAUGCAAUUUCUUUUCCAAUCGCACGAUGAGGUGAAAGCCCGAGUCUUUUCUGGCCGUGCGUGGACUUCGGUCGGCCCAGGUCAAGCGCGGCGCCCUAUAACAUGUGACAAGCGCUGUUCCCAGGACAGACCUAUUUUGGUUGCAUCGAUCUAGCACCACCACACGUCGCCGAUCGAUCGACAUUACCGCCGCCGUUCGCCACGAGCCACGGUUGCUACUGCCGCGCCGUCGUUGUAGUGGUACGGUGCUAGUGCUUUUUCUUCUGAAUUACUCUUCCAAUACAAUGCUUGUCUCGUGCUUGCGGGUGCUCGUGCACUAUAUGGGUGGCCAAGGCGCACACCCAUAAAUGGCAAGUCAUAUCCCUCUUACCUAAAAUAGAAAAGUGUCGGUCCCCGGGUACUCCCUCGCGCUUCCCCCUUAUUCUCCGCGCGUCAAAUAUCUGGCUGUCAUGUCAGGCUGCCAAAAGAACUUGCCCUUUAUCCAAGCAAAAAGAAACAACUCUGCGGACCUCUGCUUGCUUUUUCGUUCUCAUCCCCUCCACGAUCCCAUCUUCUCCUCUGUCAUCCCAAGUGACUUUCUGGACACCAUGAUUUACUACUUCGUAGCAAUCAAAGUUGCUUAAGGGAUUGCUAGCGAGCAAAAGGUCCUCAAACCACCCUGAUUUUGUUGGUAUUUCAGCAUAGCACUUCUCUAGUCAGUACAAGUACAUGAAGAUAAAACCACUUUUGCUGAUAAAAAUGGCCUGAGGCUUUGUAAAAAUCACAGACACAGAGAUCCAUGCACCACAAAUUUGCUUAUCUACCCAGUAGAUAAAACCUAAUCAAAGUUGCUUCUAAACUGGUAGAAAUCACAGGGACAGAGAUCCGUGCCCCCACAAAACUGUUUAUCUAACAACAGUCAAAUAAAUAAAAAAGAGAAACACCCAGUAGAUCCAUCUCGUAGUCAUAGUUGCUGGAGAGAAAACUGUGGCAAGAUAAAGUGUAAAGAGUUGUAGCACGCUGCUAUAACCCCGUGUUGGACACCUGUUAGCUACAGAAAACACAAAAAAGCAAAAAAAAAAAAGUUAGGUGCACUAUAUUGCAAAGGUGUAAGGUGUAUAUUGCAAAAGGUGCACUAUACGGAAAACACAGAAAAGAAAAGCAAAAAAAGCACUUAGGUGUGCUCGGCGUUUCCGAUAUUACAAGUAUGUUGCCCAAAAACAGAAAAGAGAAAACAGAUGCACUGUAGCCGUAUGAUUACUUAGGUGACUCUUUAUCCUCACUGCUGCUUUGUUCUUUGCGAGAAAAGACCACUAAACAGUAAACACACAUAAUUCUUUUGUUCCCUAAUAUCAACAUUUGAUCUUGUCAUAGUCAAACCUUAUGUUUUGUUGCUUCUUGUUACUUCUUUGACCUUGGUACUUCCAUGUCUAAAAAAAGCAAGCUUCCUGAGGAAAUAGAAUCCGGCAAACAUGCUUUACUUAAAGGCAAGAAAGCUCCAAAAAAGGAAGGAGAAGAGAAACGAUUAAACAGACAAAUUAUUCUCCUUAUGAAUGCAACUUGAAAUUCAAAAAAUAAGCGAGGAGGCAACUUUUACUCCAGAAAAGUUGGGCUAUGAAAAAACAACUUAGUGUCAACUAUAACCUGAUAUUAUGCUUCUUAGAAUAAGCAAAUUCUAAGUCAACAUGUAAGCUAGGGAAGCAACUUUUAUUCUAGAAAAGUUUAGUGAAGUAAAAAAGCAAAACUUAGUGUCACCUAUAAACUGAAAUUAUGCUUCUUAGCAAUGCGGCUCCUAAAUCAAUAUUUAAGCUGAGAAGCAACUUUUACUCCAGAAAAGUUUUGUCAAGUAAAUACAGCUUAGUGUUAUAAACUAAAAUUAUGCUUCUUAGGAAUGCAACUGUCAAGUCAAAAUUUAAGCUUACAAGCAAAUUUUAUUCUAGACAAGUUUGGUGAAGUAAAAAGCAACUUAGUUGGCAACAUAAACUGAAAUUAUACUUCUUAGGAAUGUAACUUCUAAGUCAAAAUUUAAACUGAGAAGCAAAAUUUACACCUCAAAAGUUAAUGCUUUCUUAGGGAUGCAAUUCUAAACGCAAAUUAAUGCUUUCUUAGUGAUGCCAUUCUAAAGUCAAAAUUAAGCUAGGAAGCGACUUGUGUCCGAGAAAGUUUGUUGUAACAGCUUAGCACCCACCAGAGCUGUAAUUAUGCUGAUUAGGAUGCACCUACUAAACUCAAAAUUAAGCCAGGGGAGCAACUUUCACUCCGAGAAAACUUGGGUGACGUAAAAGCAACUUAGUAUCGCCAGAACUGAAAUUAUGAUGAUUAGGAUGCAACUUGAAAACUCAAAUUUAAGCUACCAAGAACUCAAGUGUCAGCAUUUAGGAAUAAACCUCAAAUGAACACAAUGAAUUGCAAGCUAACUCUUGAGCCCCAAAAAUUGCUUGUGUCAUCAGAUUAAAUCUGAUCUGCAAGAGGCUUUGCCUAGUAUGCAUUUGCAGGCUCUCACUCAAUAAAAAUCACAAAGUAAAUCCGAUGAGUUUAGCUCUUAGCCCCUAUCUGCUAGGGGAGAAAACCGAUAUAAAAUUGCAUAAAAAUUAGCUUAGAUUGGGGCGGUUUUGGGAAGUAUGUGAGAGGAUCUAACCUUGAUAACCCAACGGAACAGUAUACGUGGCCUGCCGUGCUCAAUGUGCUCGCCAUCCUCAAUGCCCCCUGUAUUAAAACGAGGGACCUAUAGGGCCUAUAUAGGACAUAGAAUGGUCGAGUAUAUUGAAAAGCCAGUGCAAGCAUGGGUUGAGUCCAAUUUUUUUAUUUUAGGCAGGGGAGUCACCUCUUGUCUUGUGCCUCUAGGACGCCUACACUGAUCCCAGUAUUCUCGGGCACCUACAAACAAAUAGAUAGUGCAAACACAAAUUAACAAAAAUGAUUAGCUAGGGGCUUUGUAAAAAAGCAACUUGAGCGUGCGCAGGGGGAGCAAAAACACCAAACCCGCAACAAGUUGUUGACCCCUGAAACGACUACUCCUGCAUUUUCAGCUAGCAGAAUUUGGCCCCCCUGUGAUUUUCAUCUUCCUCGUUGAGGAAUUAAAUCUGCAGAUUUAUCUUCUUCAAGGGCUCCCCCAGGUGCUUCGUCUUCGUUUGGAUUCAUGAUAUCAGCUGCAGAAAACACACUGGUAACCAAGCAACAAAAGCCCUUAUAGAACAUAUAACAUCAACAAAAACUACAAGCAAACAAAAUAUUCUGCUAACACACACAUUAGCUCUCCAUACAAUCUUUUUUUUUUGCCGAGGUCAAAUAGCAGGAGAGCUUCCUACUGUAUUAAAUAAACUCAAAAAGGGCUACAAGGUUACAUACAAAUUUAUAUGCCGGAGCAAAGAAAAGAAAGGGGGAAAACCCCAAAAGCUAGAGCAAGGAAACUAUCAGAGACAACUUGCGUUUAAAAGUCUCCUCGGAGGUUCUAUAAAACAGCGAUUCUAAAUCAGCUUUGAGCCUUGCAUGCCAAGAUGGAAUGGAAGUUGUAGUGUCGUAAAAAAUCUUGGCGUUGAGUUCUUUCCAAAUAGCCCAAGCCGUGAGGGUAAAAAAUUUCCCAAUAUAUUCCUCUGUUCCACACAGCGUUCGCCUCUCAGCAGCAGCAGGUGCAUGUCCCAGGAGAUGCCCAAUUCAGCCCAGCAGCUCUGACUAAAUGGGCAAGCAAAGGGGACAGGCAAAGCACACAAUUCCAGUCAGUGGGAAGAGCGAAAUGCUUGCGCCUGAGCAUGUUGCUUGCAGUGAGUCUAUCAAUAGCAAGCAACCAAACUCUCUAUACAAUCUACACAGGCUAUAGGCUCUGCCAUCUUAAAAAACCUUGCAGGCUCUGUACCAUCUCCAAUAUGAACUGUGUUAGCUCAUAUUGGACCAAAAAAGCUUGCAUGUGUUUGCCAGGCAAAUUUCUGAAGCAAAAACAACAUCUAGGCUGGGCAAACACAUCUGAAAAAAAUGGGCGCGUGACAUUAGCUCUAUAACAUCUACAGAACUAUACAGGCUCCAUAACAUCUACAAUCCCUUGUAGGCGCUAACCCAUCUACAAUGAACUAAGUUACCUCAUACGGAGUAUUGCACACCAAAAACUUGCCUAAGUUUUGGAGGAAAAAUUCUGAAGAAAACAACAUGAAACAACAUCUAGGUUAGGCAACACAUCCUGUGUCCUACACACUGAAAAUGCACGCAUGAAUUUGCCCCCCAAAGCAAACUACUCCGAGGGAAUCGAAAUCCCCAGCAGCCUAAAAAAUCGCGAACGCUUAUAUCCAACCCAACAACUGCAAAACAAGCACAAACCCUGCGGGAUUUAGACGGGAAAAUUACUUAGGUAAAAAUGCUCGAUUAAUCUCCCAGCGCUGCUCGAUCCGUCUAGUCGAGCACGAUGCGAUGCUCGAGCCCCCAAUCUCUUCUCAAACACAAAACAGUACGCGCCCCUGACCUACCCCCGCAACAUGCAGUUCCACCUUCCGACCAACCCAAACCUUCGAACUCACCGGAGUGCUCCCUUCGUCGCCGUGGAGAAAAACGCCGCCAGCCGCGCCGCCCCUCGUGUGGUACCCCGCGACGCGCGCCUCACACGCGCAGCUCCGAGUUCAGGGCCGCUCGCCGCCGAACAAGACCGCCGGCCCGAAAUCGCCACUGGAAGCGCCGGCGGGGAGGAGAAAAAUGAAGACGGGAAAAGAGGGUGGGGACCGUGGGGGAAAGGGAGGAAGCUGAGCAGCGCCUCCAAAGAAGACGCCAGCAGCUGGGCCCCACUUGAAAACAUGCUUCAAGUCUUGUCCGAGAAGCGGCGCGCCGGUAAGGAAUCGAUCGUGCGGUCGGCUUCGCAUUGGACGGCCCUGAAGCGUGUGCGCCUGAAGACGGCAGAAAGUGCAUAGUCACUUUUAAGCAUUUUUCUUUUGCCUAACUUACUGAGCACCGGCUGGGUUUUUUCUCUCUCAAAAUUUUGUUAUGGCUGGACGAUUCUGACUUGACAUAUAUAGACUGAAUCCUAAGCCUCUAUGUCCCCUGUGCAGAGCAGGUAUGGCUGCGCCGUCAAAGCGCAAUGCGCUGGUGAACGUGACAGUCGAGGACACCGACGCCCUCGAUUGCGGCGUCUGCUGGCUCCCUCUCAAGCCGCCCAUCUUCCAGGUACCAAACUUCUUUGUCCCUCGAUCGAUCUCAUGUUAAUUUGCUUGCGUACAUCUAGCUCUGCCGAUACACCGUAACAAAUCGUGCAUACAUUGAUGCAUCUCGAUCUCGAUCUCAUACAUGUUUGCUUGCAGUGUCAAGUCGGCCACGUGUUCUGCCUGCCGUGCCGCGACAAGCUGGUCCAGACGUCGGCGCGAUGCCCCGUGUGCGGCGGCGAGAUCGUCGACGACGACGGGGCCUACCGGCGGAACCACGGCCUGGAGAAGCUGCUGGCGUCCAUCCGCGUGCCAUGCCCCAACGCCGCCCGGGGCUGCUCCGCAAAGCCAGCCUACUACGACCGGCAAGCCCAUGUCAAGACAUGCCCCUGCCGGCCAUGCCACUGCCCGGCAACAGCCUGCUGCUUCGCCGGCUCCAAGGCGAAGCUCCUGCAGCACUUCCCCUCCGUGCACAGGUGGCCCUUAACCAAGCUCACGCAUCGGCGCUGGCAGGUGAUCCAGCUCCGCCACGGCUUCAACGUCCUGGACGUCGGCGACUCCUACGAUGCCGCCAAGCGCCUUAUCUGCCUGCUGCUGGUGGUGUCCAGCGGGCGGCGUCUUGGAUGCGCCAUCUACCCUGUGUGCCUGGACGCUGGCGGAGGCGGCAUUGAUGGAUGCGACCUCGAGCUCGACGUCUCGCGGCACAACGACGAAACCGAUAGUGGCGACUGCCCGGCCUAGAGGACCGCUUCCAGUUCGUCAUGCCUAAGUCUAUUCGGCCGGACAUGGAGGGGACUAUCAAGGUUUCGGCAUAUGUUAGUUUUGUGUGCCCGGUCUCCUAUAGUUUUUGUCGAUAUUCGAUGGUGUGAAAAGCGGCUCAUUCGGUUUAAAGGAAAACAAAACACAGUAAAAGUGGAAAGGGAAUGACUAGGCUAUGUUGACUGUGUGAUUAACAAAUUCUUAGUCGAUCUUGUCUCUACUAAGCACAUUACCCUCUAUUCUGGUCCAGUAUUACACAUGUAAGUUCAGUAAUGAUUUUUGAUAGCUUUUUUUUAGCAAAUGAUUUUUGAUAUCGGAAAGCAUAUACGCACAUAAACUUUCACGUGCAAUUUUUAUAUUGCACCUAAACUUUCACUUGCUAUUUUUAAAGUUGCACCUAAACUUUCACGUGCUAUUUUUUAAAUUAGGGGCAUAACUCUUAAAAUUACAUUUGCACCGUUGAUGCAACUAAGAAAAUUACAAUGCAACUGAAUAAACAUCAGUUAAUACGCUAGGGUUGCACAAAUAAUAUGUGAAAAUUUGUGUUUGAUGAUAAAAAAAAACAAUAGAAACAAAAAAAGAUAAAGCGAAGAAAGAAAAAGAAAAAUACUUACAUAAAAUUGGCGUGAUGAAGAAUCGAACAGCAAACCUCAAUCAAGACCUCCAAUAGAUGACCACCAGACCAGCAAGAUGAUUCUAAUUAGUUGUGAACGUUGCCUUAUUUAUUUUGCUCAAACUAUCAGUUUUCUCCUUAUUGCACAAAUCUUGAUGCCUGACCCAACGUCCCACAUGCGUCGACCGAGAAAAACUAUUUCUCAGGCGACUGCUCGCUAGCAGAUUCUAAGUGGAAAACAUAGGAUUGUGUACUUGCCAUCCUAAGGAAUGGUUUUUGCUUCAUUCGUUUGGAAAAAAGAGGUUGGAUCUUAUGUUCAUUUUCUUUCAAAAACAUAGGAAAAGUACCAAAAAUCAGCCAGCGGAAAAGAUAAGUGCCCGUAAAAAAUAAGUGCUUGAUCGUCACAUCUAGGCUCGCUGGUAAUUAAUUUGCUCAUCUUGAACUCUUUUUUAGGCCCAACUUGAACUCGAUUGAACACACAAAUCUCAGAGAUACAAGAAAACACAGGAGGGCUGAUCCUUCCGUUCCUUUUUCGGUUCAGGUAGCUCCUAGCUAGGGACAGUGGCGGAUCUAGGUUUUUGAGACAAGGUGAUUCAAUGUAUAAACUUUUAUCCCAAUAUAAAUUAUAACCAGCAAUUUUUUUACCUCAAACAUACCAAUAGUAUUGAAUUUGGGAAGAGAAAACCCCGGCAUUGGAACAAUUUUGCGAUAAUUUCAAUUCGAUCAAUGUGCAAAUCUUAAUUCGAUUCAAUGAAAGACCGAGGAAAAUGUCGCCGUCUCCGUGUAAGCUGCUGCCCCGUCGCAUGCUCGCGUUGAUGAAUCGUAUGUUUGCCGUCCGCUGGCAGUAAGCGAUGAUGAUGACGAGAAAUAUGAUGCGAUGUUAGCUGCUCAUGCUCGUCUGCUCGGCAAAAAUACGAUACGAUGCCAACUGCUCGUGAUCGAUCGCUAGACUGCUACAAGGUCCGAUCUGAUGUGGUGAUGCGUACACUACACAACAGAAAGAAGACGAGAACUGGCCGGAAAGAUGGACUAUUUGCUCGGAAUGAUUUUUCAUGUUUGGUGGAUUUAAGAUACACUAAUGUAUAUGUAUACGGGCUGUAUGGACCACCUGGCCACCCUAUGUAUCGGCCGGUCGCUAGGGAGCACCGUUCUGUUUUCUUUUUCUUUGUUUUGAACUGCCAGAGAUAGCCCGGGUUUAAUUUGUUGUCCUUCAUACGCAGCGGUUAAAUUUGGAGAGAAAAAAAUUCAGGUAGAUAGCCUCCGUUAAAAAUAAAAAGGAAAUAAAAACAGGUAGCUAGAUAACGAGGCAGGAGGCAAAAACCGAAUCGGACCCAACGUAAACACACGUACGUGGCAAGACGGAAACUAAUCAAACUCGCCGCUCCAAGACUUUGGCUCUAUGUACACUCGUAUAUAUUUCCCGCAAGGGAACCAAGAUACGAUACGAUGGCGCCCCCGGCGUCGAAACGGCAGGCCCUGGCCAACGUGAGGGUGGAGGACGCCCGCGGCCUGGAAUGCGGCGUCUGCUGGCUCCCGCUGAGGCCGCCCAUCUUCCAGUGCGCCGUGGGGCACGUGCUCUUCCGGCCGUGCCGCGACAAGCUGGCCGCCGCAUCCGCAUCAUCCAACAAGUGCCACGUGUGCCGCGCCCCGACAACCGGCGACAACAACAACGGCGGCGGCUACCGCCGUUGCCACGACAUGGAGACCCUGAUAGAGUCCAUCAUCUGCGUCCCAUGCCCCAACACGCUGCGACGCCACGCCGGCCACGUCUCUAUCUUUUUUUCUCGAAAAUGAAAAUUUGUAUUGAUCUCAAAUUAUAUGGAGCGAUACAACCAAAGAAUAUCCUGACAAUCUAAGAAGGAGACGUGCCCAGCGUUGUCUUAGCGUGCGGCGCGCUCCGAGAUUUGUGCAACGACAUCGAGAAGAGCACAGUACGCCCGAAUAUUCUCAUCCCGAUCUCCUCCCCCGAUCCUCCUCUCUCCUCCUCCCCCGAUCUCAUCCUCCCGAUUGCUCUUGUCGGCGGCGUGUGGCUCGCGGAGCGGCGGCCGCAAAGGGCAGCGGCGUGCGGGGUGGCCUAGGAAGAGCUGCGGCGGCGUGGGGUGGGCGGGCGGCGCGCGGGGCGGCGGCCGCGAGCUCCGACGCUACCUCUCCCCCGCGCCCUCUGUCUAUUUUCCUCCCCAUCCCAUCUCACGGAGGAGCAGCAGCAUAGGCCGGGGCCGGAGCAGGGAGGUCGCGGUGGCGGAGCAGCGCACGCAGCGGCGGCAGCGAGCCCCGUGGGCCGUGUUCGGGGCAGGGAGGUUAGGGGACGGAGCAGCGGCCGCAGUGGCGGCAAAGCCCCUCGGGCCGAGGCCGGAGCAGGGCACGGCGAUGCGUCGCCGCGGGCGCCCGUGGCGGCGGUGAAGAAAACCCAUGGCGGGGCAGAUCCUGCGCAUGAGCGGGCGCUGUGGCGCAGGAGGAUGGAGGCGGAGUAGCGACGGGCCGCGGCGUCGCACAAAGCAUGCGUGACGGCGGAGCGGGAGGCAAGCGCGGCGGCGGCAGCGCGUGAAGUCCGGCCUGACGCCCCACUGCCACCCUCCUUCAUCCCGAGCAGGUCCACUACGACACUACAUGCACGGCCUUCCCCUGCAGCUCCUCGACCUGCUGGCUGCCGCCAACUCGGCCCAUACGCUAAUGGCUGCACCGCCGUCGGCGACCAGUGCGAGCGUCGCGUUUAGGGGCUGUUUGGUUUAGCGCCUUUGCCUGUCGUUUGGUUUAGCGCCAGCAUUUUGGCGAGCAGCGAAUUCGUUCGCCUAGGAUCUGGCGAGCCGUUGAUUUGGCAUGGUGGCGCGGCCUCGGCCGGCGCGUACAUCUCGCGGCGUGCUCACCCUCAACCGGCCAGCUCCUAGAUGCAAAAUAAGCUGGCGACCAAGCGAUAACCUGGUAAUCAAGUGGCAUUAACCUGAUAAAUAAGUGACUAUAACUCGGUAAAACGGUGACAAUAAUUCGGUAAAACGGUGACGAUAACCUGAUAACCAAGUGAUAUUUUAAGUUGGUAAAACAGUGACAAUAACCUGGUGACAAAGUGAUCUUAACCCGGUAAACAAGUGAUUUUUAACAUGGUAACCAAGUGAUUUUUUAAACUUGGCCAACAAGUGAACAUAACCUGAUAAACAAGUGAUAUUAACAUGGUAAACAAAUGGGCAUAACUCGGUAAACAAGUGAGUAUAACCUGAUAAAUAAGUUAGCAUAAUCCAGUAAACAAGCGACCAUAACUUGGUAAUUCUAACGAAAAGAAAAGUUGUCUAAACAUAUCAAUUUGUAGAUCUUGGGAUGAUUAAACUAAGGUGAAAACAACUCGUCACUCGGCUGCACUGUUUAGGAGAUAAAGAAGUUUCCAACAGAAAAUCAUGUGGAUUUAGGUAGACCAGACGGACGCCGCGUGCUAGCAGUAGGGUUCGACGGUCGCCUUGUCGAGGCAAGCGCUGAUAACGGGCGCCGCAUGCUAGAACAUGAGUGCGCACGCCGCCCAUAAUUUUGUCCACCAAAUUAAAUUUUUAUGCACCUCAAUAAAUAUGUCUAAUUUAGAAGGACGGAACUUUAUUAUCAAAUUUUUAUAGGCAGCAAAAAAUUAUCUCUAAUUUAGAAGGCUGGACGGUGCUACGAUGUGCUCAGUGCUCUACUACGAUCAGCCAGCGAGGCUGGACGGGCUGCACCAGCACUACUCUUGGGGUAAUCUGGUGUUGUUGGGCCAGGCUGCUGGAUUAUGGGGCACGAUACGAAAGACCACGUAGACGCACGCGGGCGCGGGAAGACCGUGGGGGCGCCGUACGCUAAUUAGCGUGGGCACGGUCGCCCUAUAUAUAGUCCAGUGCGGCACGUGACUCUUCAAUUUUGGGUAUUACUUGUUGUAUGAUGCUCCUUGAAACUUAUCCUCGCUAAGACUUCGCCUUAUGAAAUGCAUAUCUUUUCUUUCAGUACUUGCUCAUGUCGACCCGAUUAAAAAUAGAUCGAUGAAAGAGAAUUAAUGAGCUCAACUUAAUCCGUUUGAUAAUGUGAUUCGUCAUAAUUAUCCUGGUAAGCAGAUGUAGAUAAUCUGAAAAAUAUGCACAAAUAAUCUGGUAGGUAGAUGAAAAUAACCUGGCAAACAUGACAGUACUUUUUAUAGGUACUAAUAAAUAGGGGAAGAUAACCUAGUAAAUAUGCACAAAUAAUUUGAUAGGUAUAAACAAAUAUCGUGUAACCAUGAGACUUAUUUUUAUUAGUCGUAUUAUGUCACGUAGAUAAUCUGAUAAGUAGAAACAAUUAACCUGGUAAGUAGGAAAUACUAACCUGAUAAGUAGGAACAGGUAAUCUGGUAAGUAAUAACACUCAACCUGAUAAGUAGAGACAAUUAACUUGGUAAGUAGCCACAAUUAACUUGACAAGUAUAUGUGGAUAAUCUAAUCUGAUAAAUAGACACGGUUAACUAUAGUAGGUGUGGAUACUGGUAAGUAGACGUGGGUAAGAUGACAAGUAGGUUGGUAAAUUGACAAGCAAACGUAGCUAAAUCGGCAAAUACUGAUUAAGUCAAUAAGUAAGCGCGUAUACAAUGAGUAAGGACAAACAGAUAAACUAGCAACUAGGUAUUGCAAAUGGGCAAAGUUAAACUUGAAGUAUAAUUUGCGAAAUAUGCGGUAGUGUUACGUUUUUAAGGACAACUUGCACGUUUGACAAAUUUUAUACGUUUUAGAUAGAUCAAUUUUCUAUACCGCAAAAAGUAUGUCUAAUUUGAAAAAAAAAACAUUAAAGCGAUGGCCAAGCAGCUACUGAAGCUGGGCUGAGAUGCGAGCUGGCGUUGCUGGGCCAACGAGCUGGCGUUGCUGGGCCAAGCCGUACUGCACGCGGCUGCGCGGACGUGCGCUCGCAAGGACAGGACCGCGCCGCACAAUAAGCUCGCCGGGCACGGUCGCCCCGUAGUUGGCUCCAAGAAUAUCACGCCUUCGGCUUCUGUGUCGAGAUGCACGCGACCAAAGUACAACACCACAAACUUAUUACAUCAAAAAAAAUAUAACGACUCUAAGUAGACUCAAUUCGGCGACUAGACCGCCACCCAUGAUGGCUGAAAAUGUUCCUGACCACUUGCUCUAGCUUGAUGCACGCCAUCAAAGACAGUUGGCGAUCCGCUAGCUUGAGUAGCGUCGACCAAGUAUGGAGUCAAAGUGUGCAUGAAUAUAACACCUGCAUAAGAGAACUUAAUUUUUUGCAAUUAAAACAUGAUCAUUUCUACAUAACCAAAUUGCUCAACAUAAAGCUGCAGCCCUAACCAAAAUAAGUGUUGUCAAUCUACUAUUAACCCCACGUAACCAAGACCCAAACAUAUGGGAAACAUCACGAGGGGGAAAAAGAUUAGAAGUUAUUUGUACUAUUGACCAUACUGAUCGAGAGACAUGACAUCGAAAAAAGAGGUGUACAAUAGUCUCAUCCUCAUGAUAGAAACUGCACUUUGAGCUACCCUGAUCCAAUUCCGCUUUAGCAGGUUGUCUUUAGUUAGAGUGACCCCGCGCCGCAAGAACCAAAAAAUAUUUUUAUUUUGAGAGGAAUCUUUAACUUCCAAAUCCCAUCAUUAGAAUUCGGUAUGUUAGAGUUGACCAAACCCUGAUACAUUGACUUGACCGAAAACAAACCACUAGGGUGAAGGUUCCAACGAAACUCAUCCCGUCCGGUGGACAAAUUAACAUUGACAAGGCGAUUCAAGAGCUCCGUCCAGGCCACCAGUUUAGGUCCAACAAGGCUACGCCUGAAGGACACAUUCGGUGGGAAGUAAGCAAAAACCUGUGCCAAAGUAUCAUGCUUAUUCCGAACACGCGCUGCCCCCCAUGCGCCCUCCAACUGCCCCGCCGCCGACUCCUGCGGCGGAUUCGCCAGCUCCUCCAGGGCGGCACUCCUGGACCACGUCACCGGCACGGCGCACGGGUGGCCGUGCACCAGGAUCACCAGGUGGCGGUGGAUCGAGGGCGUCCCGCUCCGCGACGGCUUCAACGUGCUGGACGUCGUCGACGACAGCGGCGGCAGCAGCACCCACCUCUGCCUGCUUCUGGUGUCGUCGCACGAGGGAUCAAUCGGGCACGCUAUAUCUGUUGUGUGCGUCGACAGCCGCCGUUACCGGUGAAAGCUCAAGCUCGAGGCCUCACGGUACAUGCCUCGUGAUGGCGAUCUCUACCGCAGACACUGCCAGAAGUUCGCUUCCAGGCUCGCGAGCGAUGAUUUAUCGGUGGGAUGCCCGACCCGAACGACUGCUUCCGGUUCAUCCUGCCCAAGUCUCUUAAGCCGGAUGAAAAGGGCGCUAUCAAAGUCGCAGCACGUUUAUACUCCCUGCCUCUGAUAUGAAAUAUAGGUACGGGGUAUAAUUAGUCCAAAGAUUAAUAUUUUCGACUCUGUCUAUCGUCAUUAUCUAAUUAGCCCAAAGAUUAAUAUUUUCGACUCUGCUACCAUUAAAUUCUAAACCCCUUCUACUUUUUUUUUGAGGACGCAACGGUCGAUCCCCGUAAUUCGAUUAGAAGACUAGAAUUAGCCAUGUUCAUGAGAAAAACCGGGUCCGAAAACCGAUACAAAUGCACGGUUUAUUUAAGGAAAGUUGUGCGAAAAACCUUAACAAGAGAAUACACAAGAACCGAAUAAACAAACCGCCACCGCCAAGACGAAGACCUCCUUCGCUCCAACAACGCCGAACAGGGAACGGCUCCUUGCCCUAUAAGAAGGUAGGCAGAGCGGGGCUUCUUCGACGACCGGAGACAGAAGAGGUUGCCCCAACGAUAGCGGCUCGGGCAUCGGUACUUCUCUGAUCUUCAUAAUUGUGCCACUUGAAAACUUGAUCAUGUGGUAUCUUCGUUUUAAUCCAACACUCCUUUCCAAAAUAAGCGAGCUCUAACCAUGUACAAUCUGGAAUGAAUCCCCUCAUGUAGUUUGGAAUCGCAUCAUAUAAGUUGGCACGUUACCUAGACACACGAGUCAAUCAACACUUUCCUACUCCCAUAUAUAUGAUAAGUUGGAGCCUUGCUAGUUGUCCAAUUGAUUUUCUACCGUGGUCAUUGGUCCGUUGAGACUUUAAAUUGGCAGUUUCUUUGGAGCAACCGGAAUAAAUGCCAAGUACUUAAGGAAAUAAUUCUUCUUGUCAGUUAAACAUAUUGGGUACUCACCACCAGAUACAGGACUGUCGAAGGCAUCAGACUUUCCUGAAGGCUUUCCUUCAUGCCUUCGACAAAGGCACCGAUAUGCCGUGGGCCACCGGCAAAGAUGGCCCCAGGACAAUUGCAAAGAGCGGCCCACAACAAAGACUACUCACAUCUGCGCUCCCCCGCUGUGGUUAACAGCGUGUGAAACUGCGUUAUCUUUGGAAACCAUCUUUUUUUACCCCUACCCCGCGGGUCAAAAUCAUUUUGCUGCAAUGAUCACAAAUUUUUUAUCAAACUCUUUGCCCAAGGCCUGGCCUUCAGCGGCUUUACAACACGAGAGAUGCACUGCCGUCCGCAUAAUGGGCCGGCCAGGCCAUUUCCCUGCGUCACCGUCCAACAGCGCUGCGCUUCAGUGAACCAGGUUGGAAAUUUAGUCCCACCUCGCUAGUUUAAAACGAUUUCAACCAACAUAAAAGGGCUCCUCCGUCCGUGGUGUUGACUUCCGAUUAAAUAAACGUAUUGAUCCUACAUGCUCUCUCGCCUGGCCCGUGGGCCCGGUUACUACAUCUGCUCUCUGCCCUGUGGGCCCGAUUUGAUUGGGGUCCGUCUUAGGUAGUAAGGGUGACAAACCGGGGACGCCCGGUGUAAGCUUCUGGACCCGAUCUGCCCAGUCAAAUCGAGCGGGCAUUUUUUUCAAUUUUUAAAGGGUUGUUUGCCGAAGGCCCCGAAAUAAAGCCUUCGUCAAAGAGCAUUUGUUGUUUUCUCUUUUGGAUUUUUUUUCAUCUUAUAAAUCUAUUGUUUUAUAAAUAUAUACACCAUUUAAUGGUAUGUUUGGAUUGAGCCCAAGAUUGACUUACAAAAAUUAAGAGUACUCUUAAUUAGUUUGCUCCUCAUCUUGUACCAAUACUUCAGUUUGCGGUAGUUUCUCUCCAGUCUGAUAUUUCAUCAUAGCAGUAUAACAAAAAGUUGAUUGUUCUAAUCCCCUAAAAGAACUUUUUGGAAUUAAAUAACUGUAGUUGAGAAACCCCUUUUGGAAUUAAAUGGAACAACAGCCUUCCUUGGAUCCUUGUACCAUUAUUGACCCCAAGGCAUCUCCUAAGAAAAAAGGGGAUAUUUCAUAAAGGAUCUCCCUGACUUAGCCCCUUAAAGGUUAUGAAAUAUUCCUCAUUUUCUCAAUUCAAGUUGAUGGAGGAUUUUCUAAUUCAACUGCCAUCCUGAUCGAGUUGAUCCAUGUAGAGCAGAGCCACUCUCUCUGCAUGACCUCGGUGAGGAAAGGCCAUUAAAAUUUAUUAUAGGCCAUCUUGAAAUCUAUAUUUAGCAUGGUUUCCCUUCCUAGUUACUUCUAAUUCAUACAACACCUCGAUGGCUCUUACAGAACAACCACACCUUCCAUAAUAUGUCUGCUAGGAGUGAAAGCAGUUUCGGCUCUGCUAGUUAUCCUGCAGCUGGAGGAGUCAAUCUGAUUGGCAACACUUUCAGAUCAUUUUGGUGAUCACCUUAGGCAAAUAAAUAAUGAAUCUGUAUUGCUAGAUAACCUUAUCAUAUUUUAAUCUUGGGAAUCAGGGAGAUAACUCCGUAGUUAACCCCCUAGCUUUCAGAAGAAAAACUCCAUAGUUGUCUCCCGGGAUUCAAUUAAUCUAAUCUCAUAUAAUUCACCUAGCAUCUCUUUGUCCCCAAGCUUGACUUGGUGCGAAACCAAGGUAUUUGGCAACAUGACAGAAAACCGCAGCGCGGAAAUCGAGGGGCUCGCAUGACGUAUCACGCAAGGAAAACGGAAAACGGUGGGGCCCUAAUUAGGUGGGCCCCAUAUAUCAGUGAGCCAGGUAAAGGAGUCGUACGUCGGACGAUCCGCGUCGAUACGCAACCUUCUAGAUCAGCACAAUACAUCUAUAUCAAGCAAGGCCCAUACGUAUUAAUCAGCUUUAAAUACUUACAUUUUUGCGAGAAUUAAAUACUUACGUUUUAAAUAGACGCGUACGCCACGGCGUAUUUUUUUUAAUAUACUAGACUAAUUAGAUAGCCGAGUCUGUAAUUCUUCCAUGGUAUUUGCAACAACAGAAAGAAAAAAAUCUGUGAUACAUUGCGCAAUGGAGUCGUAGGAGAUUUGAUGUGGCCGGAUUUACCUUCCUUUAGAAGCAUAUAAAAAUACAUGAAAAUGAACCAGCGAUGGCAUGAACAACGGGAAUUAAAAUGAUAGUAGAGAAAAAACGUAAAGAAAAACAAUGACGACGCUCUACAUUCUCACAUCGUCCAAAAACCGUAGCGCGGAAAUCGAGGGGCUCGCAUGACAUAUCACGCAAGGAAAACGGAAAACGGUGGGCCCCUAAUUAGGUGGGCCCCAUAUAUCAGUGAGCCAGUUUAAGGAGUAGUACGUUGGACGAUCCGUGUCGAUACGCAACCUUCUAGAUCAACACAAUCCAUCUAUAUCACGAAGCAAGGCCAUACAUAUUAAUCAGCUUUAAAUACUUACGUUUCUUUGCGAGAAUUAAAUAUUACGUUUUAUAAUAGACACGUACGCUACGGCGUAUUUUUUUCUUAAUAUACUAGACUAACUAGACAUCCGAGUCUGUAAUUCUUCCAUGGUAUUUGCGACAACAGAAGAAAAAAAAUGUGUGAUACAUUGUGCAAUGGAGUCGUAGAAUUUGAUGUGGCCGGAUUUACCUUCCUUUAGAAGCAUAUAAAUUCGUGAAAAUGAACCAGCGAUGACAUGAACAAUUGGGAAUUAAAACGAUAGAGAAAAAAGUAAAAAAAAAAAAACAAUCUACAUUAAUUCUCACAGCGUCCAAAAACUGUACAGCGGAAAUCGAGGAGCUCGCAUGACGUAUCACGCGAGGAAAACGGAAAACGGAAAACUGUAGGCCCAGGCCAGGAGUACUGAUCCGAGGAGGAUCCGCUGAAAAGGAAAUCCGCGACAGACGGGAGAGAUAUACAUAUACGGCGGAAAGGCAACCCGCGAGUACUGAUUGACAGACAGCAAAGGUAGUACGACUGCUACUACGCUCGCCAAUUAAGCCAGCCAGCCAAGCUCCUUCCUUGCGUGAUGACGCCGCCGUGGGCUGGCAGCGGCAGGGUCGCUGACCUGACGGCGGAGGACGACGUCGUCUCCCUCGACUGCGGGAUCUGCUUCCUCCCGCUCCAUGAGCUGCCGCUGCUCCAGGUAAAUCAGCCGAUCCAUAUCUCUAACCUAGAUUAAUUCAUGCUGA
Molecule: long non-coding RNA, 39998 nt
Filed under: Brachypodium distachyon (stiff brome)
Lineage: Eukaryota; Viridiplantae; Streptophyta; Magnoliopsida; Poales; Poaceae
Description: long non-coding RNA (BDIS_LNC002346)
Source: RNAcentral